GUGCUCACUUCAGAGCACAGUAUACUAAAAUGUGAGCGAUACAGAGAAGAUUAACAUGGCCCUGUGAAAGGGAAGGAUUUUGUGAUUGAUAUGGGUUAUACAUUGCA
Molecule: small nuclear RNA, 107 nt
Organism: Suncus etruscus (white-toothed pygmy shrew)
Lineage: Eukaryota; Metazoa; Chordata; Mammalia; Eulipotyphla; Soricidae
Source: RefSeq, a predicted model, not a curated record